Molecule: long non-coding RNA, 1349 nt
Filed under: Equus asinus (donkey)
Lineage: Eukaryota; Metazoa; Chordata; Mammalia; Perissodactyla; Equidae
Description: lncRNA (ENSEASG00005025164.1)
Source: RNAcentral
CCGACUCAUAUCUAAAGUUAUCCGACCACACACGGUGCUGGCCACUGCUUAUAUUUUUGAGCCAGAAAUUCAACUUCCAAGAAUAUGUCUUACAGAAAUUCCUACACAAAUAAAUAUUUGCUGUAGUUUUGGUUGUUGUUCCUGCUGCUGUUCUUAUAAUAGAAACAACAAAUAUCCAAGAAGAGGGGAUUUGAAUACAAUGUAGACAUUAAAAAGAAUGAAAAAGGUCUACUCAGACCAACACUGAAAGAUGUUCAAACUCAUUGUUAAGUGAAAAAAAAAAACUUGUAUAACUUAAUUUUUGUUUUGAAAAAAACCUUUUGUAUAUUCAUAGAAAAAAAUUCCAAGGGGAAAUACAUUGAACUGUUAAUAGUUAACUAUGGGCUGGGAAGGAGGGAGGGGACAGUGCACAGGGGACUUUCCAGGGUUUGUAUUCCAUCUUUAUUGUUAUAAUAAUUAUACACCACUUCUGUAAGCAAACAAAAUAAGAAAAGUAGUUUUUAAAGACAUGACGUCUUCCCCUAGACACGUUCACUGUCUUAUGGGUCAUUUCUGGGUAGGUAUUCAUAUCUCCAUUUUAUAAAGGAGGUUCAGAGAAGUAAAGUGAUUUCUUCAAGGUCACACAGCCGGCCAAGCCUUCCUCAAAGGUUAAGUGAGCAGACAGGAUCCUCCUGGUGCAGAGAGACGGGACCAAUCAUGUUUGCUAUGAGGUCACUUUGAAGGCCUGGGAUUGGUGCUCUUGUCUAAACUGAGCCGGAUGGUGCACCUGCUUGGGAUGAUUUGGCUUUCUCGGAGUUGCCGUGGGGGGCAUCAGUUCUCCGUCCUCUAAAGGUCGCACCGGCACCCUCAGCUUUGGGUGGGUUAGCCGUAGAGGCGCCCCGCCCUUCCUGCUGUGGUCAGUAAUCCCCCAUGCCCGUGCCGGCAUAGCCUGCAGCCCUCCCUCCCUGCAUCUCUCGCACCGAAGACAGGCAAAGGCCGUGACCGGCUUCCGCCCUGCUCAGACUGGCGCUUCAGCCCCGGUGACUGCACCUGGCGUAGUCCCGGCAUGACCUGCCUGGCCUCGAGCCAGCGCAAAGCAAUUAGAAACAGGACUCAAUGCAAACUCUACUUCCCUGUCUUUGCGGCUCCCGGGCUGUGCUGCCCGCUGGAAAGUGCCCUGCUUUAUGGAGAAGAGGAUUGAGGUCCAAAGAGAGUAAGGGGCUUGGCCCAGGCCACACAGCAAGUUAACAGCAGAGCAUGGACUUUUCUUUCAGGGCAGCAAGCUGGAUGAUCUCAGUCUCCUCAUCUGUGAAAUGGGACUCUCAGUCCCUACCCCACACGAUGCUGGGAGAAGAUAGACUAACUUUAAU